This 449-nucleotide long non-coding RNA is filed under the name Mytilus galloprovincialis (Mediterranean mussel). Lineage: Eukaryota; Metazoa; Mollusca; Bivalvia; Mytilida; Mytilidae. The record is from RNAcentral.
GUAAUAAAUUAAGGGUAGACCAGGAUGAAGUUCGGUAAACUUUUUAUACGGGUUUUACAUUUUUUUCUAUUUUGGCGGAUGAAGACAAUUCUAUUCCCAAGUCACCCUUAAGUGUCCAUAAAUUCAGCAGCACCCAUACAUAUAUAUAUACCUACUUUCCAAUCUUUUAAAACAAAUAAAAGAAAGAAUAAGACAAAAUGAUACACAUUCUCAAACGCCUAUUUUAUCGGUAAUAAUACUUGAGGGUCUUGUUGGAGUUGACAGAAUAUCAAAUCACGCGACUGGGAAACGCAGAAUAAAGGACAAAACAUAUAGCAUAUACAAAAAAAAUAUAAAGAAUAGAAAAUAAAAGGAUGAUCAAAUAGAGAAUAAUGAGCAAAAUUAUAAAGAAUAGAAAAAAUGUUUUAAAAAUUAAAAGAAUACAAAAUCGAUGGACCAUCCAUCCAGAC